This 480-nucleotide ribosomal RNA is filed under the name uncultured bacterium. Its description in RNAcentral is "partial 16S ribosomal RNA". It matches the Rfam family "Bacterial small subunit ribosomal RNA", at positions 28 to 501 of the family's 1533-position model. The record is from RNAcentral.
GACGAACGCUGGCGGCGUGCUUAACACAUGCAAGUCGAACGGUGAAAGCGGAGCUUGCUCCGCUGGAUCAGUGGCGAACGGGUGAGUAACACGUGGGCAACCUGCCCCUCACUUCGGGAUAACUCCGGGAAACCGGGGCUAAUACCGGAUAUGACCUCCUUGGGCAUCCUUGGAGGUGGAAAGUUUUUCGGUGAGGGAUGGGCCCGCGGCCUAUCAGCUUGUUGGUGAGGUAGUGGCUCACCAAGGCGACGACGGGUAGCCGGCCUGAGAGGGCGACCGGCCACACUGGGACUGAGACACGGCCCAAACUCCUACGGGAGGCAGCAGUGGGGAAUAUUGGACAAUGGGCGCAAGCCUGAUCCAGCCAUGCCGCGUGAGUGAAGAAGGCCUUCGGGUUGUAAAGCUCUUUUGUCAGGGAAGAAACAGCAGCUCUAACACAGUUUGCGAAUGACGGUACCUGAAGAAUAAGCACCGGCUAAC